UACGUAGGGUGCGAGCGUUAAUCGGAAUUACUGGGCGUAAAGCGUGCGCAGGCGGCUUUGCAAGACAGAUGUGAAAUCCCCGGGCUUAACCUGGGAACUGCAUUUGUGACUGCAUGGCUAGAGUACGGCAGAGGGGGAUGGAAUUCCGCGUGUAGCAGUGAAAUGCGUAGAUAUGCGGAGGAACACCGAUGGCGAAGGCAGUCCCCUGGGCCUGUACUGACGCUCAUGCACGAAAGCGUGGGGGGCAAACAGG
Molecule: ribosomal RNA, 253 nt
Filed under: uncultured bacterium
Lineage: Bacteria
Description: partial 16S ribosomal RNA
Rfam family: Bacterial small subunit ribosomal RNA
Source: RNAcentral